Molecule: ribosomal RNA, 831 nt
Filed under: uncultured archaeon
Lineage: Archaea
Description: bacterial SSU rRNA
Rfam family: Archaeal small subunit ribosomal RNA
Source: RNAcentral
AUUAUUGCUUUUUGGGAUCGCUAGCCUGCGAGUCGAGAGGGUUCGGCCCUCGGCUGACGGCUCAGUAACACGUGGAUAAUCUGCCCUAAGGUGGAGGAUAACCUCGGGAAACUGAGAAUAAUACUCCAUAGGUCUAGGAUGCUGGAAUGCACUUAGGCUGAAAACUUCGGUGCCUUAGGAUGAGUCUGCGGACUAUCAGGUUGUAGUCAGGGUAAAGACCUGACUAGCCUACGACGGAUACGGGUUGUGAGAGCAAUAACCCGGAGAUGAUAUCUGAGACACGAUAUCAGGCCCUACGGGGCGCAGCAGGCGCGAAAACUUCGCACUGCGCGAAAGCGCGACGAGGGAAUCCCAAGUGUAUGCACGUAAGUGUAUACUGUUUUUCUGUCUAAAAAGCAGAGAGAGUAAGAGCUGGGUAAGACGGGUGCCAGCCGCCGCGGUAAUACCUGCAGCUCGAGUGGUGAUCGUUAUUAUUGGGCCUAAAACGUCCGUAGCCGGUCUUGUAAAUGCCUGGGUAAAUCGUAUGGCUUAACCAUACGAAUUCUGGGUAGACUGUUAGACUUGAGACCGGGAGAAGCUAGAGGUACUCCUGGGGUAGAGGUGAAAUUCUGUAAUCCUAGGGGGACCACCAGUGGCGAAGGCGUCUAGCCAGAACGGGUCUGACGGUGAGGGACGAAGCCCUGGGGAGCAAACGGGAUUAGAUACCCCCGGUAGUCCAGGGUGUAAACGCUGCUCGCUUGAUGUUAGUCGGGCUCCGAGCCCAACUAGUGUCGGAGAGAAGUUGUUAAGCGAGCUGCCUGGGGAGUACGGUCGCAAGACCGAAACUUAAGG